Molecule: transfer RNA, 84 nt
Filed under: Candidatus Omnitrophota bacterium
Lineage: Bacteria; Pseudomonadati; Candidatus Omnitrophota
Description: tRNA-Cys
Rfam family: tRNA
About the family: Transfer RNA (tRNA) molecules are approximately 80 nucleotides in length. Their secondary structure includes four short double-helical elements and three loops (D, anti-codon, and T loops). Further hydrogen bonds mediate the characteristic L-shaped molecular structure. tRNAs have two regions of fundamental functional importance: the anti-codon, which is responsible for specific mRNA codon recognition, and the 3' end, to which the tRNAs corresponding amino acid is attached (by aminoacyl-tRNA synthetases). tRNAs cope with the degeneracy of the genetic code in two manners: having more than one tRNA (with a specific anti-codon) for a particular amino acid; and 'wobble' base-pairing, i.e. permitting non-standard base-pairing at the 3rd anti-codon position.
Source: RNAcentral
GACGUGGUGCUCGAAUGGUUGAAGGGGAGGGAUUGCAAAUCCCUUAGCGAAAGCUCAUUGUAGGUCCGAAUCCUAUCCACGUCU